UCCUCCCUCUGGCGGCGUGCUUAACACAUGCAAGUCGAACGGGCUCUGUCUGGUUGUGUGCUGGGUGGGGUUAGUGUCGAACGGGUGAGUAAUACGUGAGUAACCUACCCUCUUCUUUGGGAUAAGCCUUGGAAACGGGGUCUAGUACUGGAUAUUCCUGUCUGGUCGCAUGGCUGGGUGGGGAAAGUUUUUUUCGGUGGGGGAUGGGCUCGCGGCCUGUCAGCUUGUUGGUGGGGUGAUGGCCUACCAAGGCGUCGACGGGUAGCCGGCCUGAGAGGGUGGACGGGGACACUGGGAGUGAGCUACGGCCCAGGAUCUGACGGGAGGCAGAAGUGGGGGCUAUUGGAAGAUGGGGGGAAGCCUGAUGAAGGGACGACGCGUGGAGGAUGACGGCUCUCGGGUUGUAAACAUCUUUCGUCGGGGGAAAAGGCUCUGCUUGGUGGUGGGGUUGAGGGUACCCGGUGAAGAAGCGCCGGCUAACUACGUG
This 487-nucleotide ribosomal RNA is filed under the name uncultured bacterium. RNAcentral's name for it is "partial 16S ribosomal RNA". It matches the Rfam family "Bacterial small subunit ribosomal RNA", at positions 34 to 507 of the family's 1533-position model. The record is from RNAcentral.